UAAUACAUGUGGGGCAAGCGUUGUUCGGAAUUACUGGGCAUAAAGGGUGCGUAGGUGGCUUGUUAAGUCAGGGGUGAAAGUUUUCGGCCCAACCGGAAAAUGGCCUUUGAUACUGGCGAGCUGGAGUGCGUGAGGGGUAACCGGAACGAGCAGUGUAGCGGUGAAAUGCGUAGAUAUUGCUCGGAAGGCCAACGGCGAAGGCAGGUUACUGGUGCGCAACUGACACUGAGGCACGAAAGCGUGGGGAGCAAACAGGAUUAGAUACCCUGGUAGUCCACGCCGUAAACGAUGAGCACUAGGUAGGUGCCGAGCUAUUCGGUGCCUGCCGCAGGUAAUUUGGUAAGUGCUCCGCCUGGGGAGUAUGGUCGCAAGGCUG
This 376-nucleotide ribosomal RNA is filed under the name uncultured bacterium. RNAcentral's name for it is "bacterial SSU rRNA". It matches the Rfam family "Bacterial small subunit ribosomal RNA", at positions 521 to 896 of the family's 1533-position model. The record is from RNAcentral.